UUUUUUAAAAAAUUUGUAAUUUUAUCUUUGCUCCCCUUCAGGAACUAAAUAAACAUCCAGGAGGGAAAUAAAAACAAACCUUUUUUUGUUUCUGUAGCUUGGCGCGAAAGUCAGAUCUAAAAGUUCUCAGCCAAACCCUAACAGAACUUUCAAACACGAGGUACUUAAAGAUGGCAAUUAAACCUAGUUUAUGUCAUCUCCUAAAGAUUAUUUACACUUUGUGACAUUGUCGUUAAGGACGACAUAAUGGGAACAUUGAAAGUUCCAGAGAGAUAUUUUAUUUGUUUACUUGGCUGUGCACUUUGUUGAAUUGUUUUGUUUGCUUGACACGAUCUACUUUUUAAAUGACGUUUACAUCAAAACUUCUUUACGUCUGCUGCAUAGACAUGAAAUGAUUUGAUCUUUUGGAGUACACAAAAUAUUUUUAAAUGAAAGAGAUUUUAAGGUGCCAUUGAGGAUUGGGGGAGGGGGCGGGGGAAAGGAAAAAGCAAGAGAGAGAAAGAGAGGAGUUUUUAUCUUAAGAUAUGGGAUAAUUAGGUUUAGAUGUUAAUAUUCAUGUAUACAUUAGCCUACCUUCUGUUAUUAUCAUUUUUCUUAAGAUUUAAUAAAAUCUUGUUUUUUUUUGCAAUCUGUGUUGGGAUGCAGUUAGUUUUCAUUGCCUGUGCUAUAUAUUUGUUUUUAAACAAUUCUGUUUAAAUAUGUCUAGUGGACUGGUAGAUAGAGGCCAUGUUGACCUAGAUGUAUACACUUCCUAAAAUGUUCUAUUUUUAUCAGUUUCUGUCUUUGUGUACAUUUUCUUUUCUACUCCAUGUUUGUUGGUCAAAUAGAAUCACAAUUCAAGGGACACAAUCAAUGUUUUCCAAUAAUAAAAAUCUGUGAAUGGUAUUGUUUCCCC
Biomphalaria pfeifferi is the source of this 895-nucleotide non-coding RNA. Lineage: Eukaryota; Metazoa; Mollusca; Gastropoda; Planorbidae. The record is from the annotation of a GenBank genome assembly.